GACGAACGCUGGCGGCGUGCUUAACACAUGCAAGUCGAACGGAAAGGCCUGCUUUCCCUUGUGGAUUGCGGGUACUCGAGUGGCGAACGGGUGAGUAACACGUGAGUGAUCUGCCCCCAACUUGGGUAUAAGCCUGGGAAACUGGGUCUAAUUCCCGAUAGGACUGCAGGGUGGUGCCUGUGGUGGAAAACGAUUUUCUAGUGGUUGGGGAUGAGCUCGCGGCCUAUCAGCUUGUUGGUGGGGUAAUGGCCUACCAAGGCGGCGACGGGUAGCCGGCCUGGGAGGGGCGGCGGGGAGAGGUGGACUGGGUUGCGGCGCGGACGGAGGCGGGCGGCAGCGGUGGGGGGGGGGGGACGAGGGGCGGACGCCUGAUGACGCGGCGCAGCGUGGGGGAUGACGGGUGGCGGGUGGGGAGCUGCUGGCGGAGGCGAAGAAGCCACCUGGUUGGAAGGGGGGUGACGGUGCUGGUAGAAGAAGCACCGGCUAACGACGUG
RNAcentral lists this ribosomal RNA (494 nucleotides) under uncultured bacterium. RNAcentral's name for it is "partial 16S ribosomal RNA". It matches the Rfam family "Bacterial small subunit ribosomal RNA", at positions 28 to 507 of the family's 1533-position model. The record is from RNAcentral.